This 403-nucleotide ribosomal RNA is filed under the name bacterium. RNAcentral describes it as "partial 16S ribosomal RNA". It matches the Rfam family "Bacterial small subunit ribosomal RNA", at positions 355 to 776 of the family's 1533-position model. The record is from RNAcentral.
UGGGGAAUAUUGCACAAUGGGGGAAACCCUGAUGCAGCGACGCCGCGUGAACGAAGAAGGUAUUCGUAUCGUAAAGUUCUGUCCUAUGGGAAGAUAAUGACAGUACCAUAGAAGAAAGCUCCGGCUAAAUACGUGCCAGCAGCCGCGGUAACACGUAUGGAGCGAGCGUUGUCCGGAAUUAUUAGGCGUAAAGGGUACGCAGGCGGUUUAAUAAGUCGAAUGUUAAAGAUCGGGGCUCAACCCCGUAAAGCAUUGGAAACUGAUAAGCUUGAGUAGUGGAGAGGAGAGUGGAAUUCCUUGUGGAGAGGUGAAAUACGUAGAUAUUAGGAGGAAUACCGGUAGGGAAGGCGACUUUCUGGACACAAACUGACGAUGAGGUACGAAAGCGUGGGGAGCAAACAGG